ACAAGCUUUCGGGAGAACCUCCCUUUCUCAAGUCUGAAUGCUUCAGACUUGAGAAAGGGAGGUUCUCCCGAAAGCUUG
This 78-nucleotide microRNA precursor is filed under the name Pelobates cultripes (western spadefoot toad). The record is from RNAcentral. Lineage: Eukaryota; Metazoa; Chordata; Amphibia; Anura; Pelobatidae.